UACGAAGGGGGCUAGCGUUGCUCGGAAUGACUGGCGUAAAGCGCGUGUAGGCGGCUAAGUAAGUCGGGCGUGAAAUCCCACGGCUCAACCGUGGAAGUGCACUCGAAACUGCAUAGCUAGAGUCCUGGAGAGGAAGGUGGAAUGCUUGGUGUAGAGGUGAAAUUCGUAGAUAUCAAGCGGAACACCGGUGGCGAAGGCGGCCUUCUGGACAGUGACUGACGCUGAGACGCGAAAGCG
RNAcentral lists this ribosomal RNA (237 nucleotides) under uncultured bacterium. RNAcentral's name for it is "partial 16S ribosomal RNA". It matches the Rfam family "Bacterial small subunit ribosomal RNA", at positions 524 to 761 of the family's 1533-position model. The record is from RNAcentral.